UUGGCCUCGUCUAAACGAUCG
RNAcentral lists this non-coding RNA (21 nucleotides) under Arabidopsis thaliana (thale cress). Lineage: Eukaryota; Viridiplantae; Streptophyta; Magnoliopsida; Brassicales; Brassicaceae. The record is from RNAcentral.